UCCCUUUCCUUGAAGAACUGUAAUGUCAUUAAUUUGGUGUUGCAGGGAAACAGGACUGUUACUUUGAAAAAAUUAGAGCGUUUAAAGCAGGCUAACGCUUGAAUACAUUAGCAUGGAAUAAUGAAAUAGGACGUUCGAUCCUAUUUUGUUGGUUUCUAGGAUUGACGUAAUGAUUAAUAGGGAUAGUUGGGGGCAUUAGUAUUCAAUUGUCAGAGGUGAAAUUCUUGGAUUUAUUGAAGACUGACUACUGCGAAAGCAUUUGCCAAGGAUGUUUUCAUUAAUCAAGAACGAAAGUUAGGGGAUCGAAGACGAUCAGAUACCGUCGUAGUCUUAACCAUAAACUAUGCCGACUAGGGAUCGGAUGAUGUUAAUUUUUUAAUGACUCGUUCGGCGCCUUACG
RNAcentral lists this ribosomal RNA (400 nucleotides) under uncultured Glomeromycotina. Its description in RNAcentral is "SSU rRNA". It matches the Rfam family "Eukaryotic small subunit ribosomal RNA", at positions 694 to 1092 of the family's 1831-position model. The record is from RNAcentral. Lineage: Eukaryota; Fungi; Glomeromycota.